This 275-nucleotide small nuclear RNA is filed under the name Chinchilla lanigera (long-tailed chinchilla). Its description in RNAcentral is "7SK RNA (ENSCLAG00000022167.1)". It matches the Rfam family "7SK RNA", at positions 1 to 280 of the family's 331-position model. Rfam says of the family: 7SK was discovered as an abundant small nuclear RNA in the mid-70s but a possible function has only recently been suggested. Two independent studies have found that 7SK RNA binds the CDK9/cyclin T complex (known as elongation factor P-TEFb). The record is from RNAcentral. Lineage: Eukaryota; Metazoa; Chordata; Mammalia; Rodentia; Chinchillidae.
AGACAAAAAAACAACAGACUGCUACAUCUGUUACUCCAUUGAUCACCAGGAUUGAUUCAGCUGAUCUGGCUGGCUAGGUGGAUGUCCUCUCCUCCCUCAAUGCUCCGUGAGUGUCCUUCCCAAAGGUGCACUCUCGGUCAGAGAGGAUGACCCCCACAUCCAUAUAGGAGGACCCUUCCUCAGUCAAGGGUAUGAGAGUAGCUGCGCUCCCCUGGUAGAAUCUCCAGACAGGCUCUAGAGGUCCCUUUCAAUCCUAAUGCCCUUUGGCUUCAUAG